This is a long non-coding RNA of Lontra canadensis (Northern American river otter), 1198 nucleotides long. RefSeq lists it as uncharacterized. NCBI's taxonomy places the organism in Eukaryota, Metazoa, Chordata, Mammalia, Carnivora, Mustelidae. The transcript has 3 exons. The record is from RefSeq and is a predicted model, not a curated record.
AAUCUCCAUUCGACUCAUCCAUUUCACACAGUAACCUCCACAGAUCUCUCUCCUUAAAAGGAGAGAGAGAAAAGAUGGGCAGCAGUUGCCACUCAGGCCUCAGACCCUGUUUGGAGGCGUAUUUUGUUCUGGGGGCUGCCUAAGGGACCCCAAGACUGGACAGAUCCCUGGGAGCCUGGAACCAGACCCAGAGCCUGCCUCUCCUGUGCCCUAGGCCCUCCUGUGGCUCAGCUCACUGCCUGGCUUACAGGCCCGUGCUUAAGGAAGCUGGGCAUCCCCUUGGCAUGAAACUUACCUCACCGUGCAAGGGAAUGUUAGCACCUGACCCAGUCAGGACCCCACAGGUGGAGGCUCAGGGUAGGUUAGGUGUCCCGUCAGAUGCAAAAGGAGAAGCUUAGUCAUCAUUCCAAACCUCACCUGCAAUUUUGGUAAAGUGGUGAACCCGCCAUAUUGUAGCUCUUCCUCAAAAUGGUUGCACAAUCCUUUUCCUACCUACUACAAGAAUGAGCUAUGGUCAGAAACUGGCAAAUUUCUUAGUCACUUUGCAAGUUUAUGAGUUUUGCAGAUGUCCACAAUAAUUUGGCAAAGCAAUUAUUUAAUUCCAGUAACUUGAAUCAUCCUUCAAAAGAGGUUCCUCCCAUUGGGCCACCCUAGAGAAUUGCCCUUUGAGUUAUUUACUUAUUUAAAGACACAGACCUAGCAAACCGUGACUUAAUGGUCUUUGAGGCUGGACCUCUGUGAUUAAUUAGUUUGAAAGCCAAGGUCAUGAGUUGAAUUAAUAGUCCAUUUCCUUUGACAUGGGGAAAAGGUGAUUUAGAUCUACAGCUUCUUGAAAGGUGUGGCUGCCUUGUUCACACCACAUCCCCUUGCUGGCCGGGUGAGGGACAAGGGGUGAUGUGAGGACGCAGCUUGUACAGGGGCCCAAAUUUCAAGAAGCCCACAUGCUUAGGAGAUCCGAAGGUCUGGCUGGGGAGCCUGUGAUGUAGGCAAUCCAUGGUGGGUUUAUUAUUUCAGAAGGGUGUUAAAGGAUUGCAUUGUUCAAAGGAACAGUGGGUGGGGAGAUAGUUCUCCCGGGGAACCAGCUGUGACAUCCAGCUGCUGUCCCCAGACUUCCAGGAGCAUAAAACCCAGGGUAUGUUGAAUCCCAUUUCUAGGAACAAAGUCUUCAAGGGUGUAUUUGCUUUUUGAGAAGGUAUAU